Molecule: ribosomal RNA, 253 nt
Filed under: uncultured bacterium
Lineage: Bacteria
Description: partial 16S ribosomal RNA
Rfam family: Bacterial small subunit ribosomal RNA
Source: RNAcentral
UACGAAGGGGGCGAGCGUUGUUCGGAUUUACUGGGCGUAAAGGGCGCGCAGGCGGUUCUGUUUGUCGAGUGUGAAAGCCCCGGGCUCAACCUGGGAACUGCGCUCGAAACGGCGGAACUAGAGUUCGGGAGAGGAGAGUGGAAUUCCCAGUGUAGAGGUGAAAUUCGUAGAUAUCGGGAGGAACACCAGAGGCGAAGGCGGCCGACUGGGCUGUACCUGACGCUGAGGCGCGAAAGCGUGGGGAGCGAACCGG